UCUUCCUUCAUGCUUUUGGAAUUGAAGUGAGAUAGUUUAGGUUACGAAAUUCGUCACACCGAUAGCAUAAAGGAACACUUAGAGGCAAAGGUAAGUAUAUACAGUUGUCAGCAAUAUGAUUCUGCUCUUGGUUGUUGAAACACGUGUGGGAUGAAACACAGAUUAUGAGAAUCUUCAUGGUUAUAUUAUGACUUUAUCAAAAGUAUGCAAAGAUUUUCCUAUGGCCAAGCAAGGUGUUUACGCACUCGUAAAAUAUGUAUCACAGAAGACUUAGAACCAACCAGGGUGACAAUUAUUGAUGAAGAAAGUGAUAUACGAAAGUUUUAGUCAAGCUGCAAAAUCCAAUUAAUUACAAUACGAGGUUUUCAGGAAUUAUGAAAGACAUGAAGGUCGUGAUGACGAAUAUUUUAGAUGUACAAGUUUCUUGGAUAAAACGAUCUUGAUAGGUAGCGUAGAUACGACUUGGACAAUAGGAGCAGUCUUAAAAAAGAGAUUACAACCUUGCUAUUGUCAUUCGCAUUCAGUGAU
This is a long non-coding RNA of Atta colombica, 528 nucleotides long. RefSeq lists it as uncharacterized. Lineage: Eukaryota; Metazoa; Arthropoda; Insecta; Hymenoptera; Formicidae. The transcript has 5 exons. The record is from RefSeq and is a predicted model, not a curated record.